RNAcentral lists this long non-coding RNA (907 nucleotides) under Lupinus angustifolius (narrow-leaved blue lupine). RNAcentral describes it as "long non-coding RNA (LANG_LNC002916)". Lineage: Eukaryota; Viridiplantae; Streptophyta; Magnoliopsida; Fabales; Fabaceae. The record is from RNAcentral.
GGAUAUAUCAUAGUAGUAGAGUGCAUAAUAUGUCUGGUUUGAUAAUCUGACUGCGGAUUAGAUCAUAGAAUACAAAAUCUAACUCAUCUCUAAUUGAACAUAGAAAAAAUUUGAACAACAAAUGGAGAACAUCAAACUGCAUUCCAAUAUACCAAAUUCAUAUACAUGGUUCCGGAAUCUACAAAAUAUAAUUGAAACAAAAUAUCAGAAUUAUAGAAGCUUUUUAAGAAAUAAAAUUCAACAUGUCAAAGUGGAUAACAGUUUCGAAAAGUACUGCAGUUUUCAGAAGAUGAAAAUGAACAAAAAAUAUAUAUCAAAUAAACAUCAUAAUGUGAAUCUUUCAAUAAUGAUGAAUCUUUUUCAAUAAAGUAAAACAUACUUAUUUGUUAUAAGGUAGUUACAGUAAAAAAUGCCUAAAAUAUAUUGAAAAUAUAAUGCAGUAAUAGUCUACUACCUAUUUAAUAUUAGUAGUGACUUAUUAAUCGGAAUGAAUCACAAAAAGUAAACAUAUUAGUGAGAAUGAAUGCAAGUUAUAGUAUACCCAAUAAUCUAAGUCAUCUGUAAUAUUAAAACACAGAAGCCGAUUUAUAAAGAAACAAAGGCAAAACCUUAUGCAUAGAAUGUUGUAUACACAGCUCUGAAUGAAGUAUUGACAGUCAAUUGCUCUCCUCAAUAUUAAACACUAAUCACAAAUGAAAGUAAAAUAAAAUAAGAAGUUAAGAACGUAGUUGAAAGGAAGAAGUUAUGAAAUAAAGAAGAAAUAUUGUUAGUAGGGAAACAAAAAUGACAAUAAAAUAGUGGAAUGCCAUUAUGAUGGUAAGAAACAUACAAUCUUACCUGGGCACUUUAAGAAGCAUGAAGAAGAAAUAGCAUGUUGAGAGGUUAGCAUUUUUUUUGAAGACCUAGC